GCCGGAGUGGCGAAAUGGCAUACGCGCGGGAUUCAAAAUCCCGUUCCCGCAAGGGAGUGUGGGUUCGAGUCCCACCUCCGGCACCA
This 86-nucleotide transfer RNA is filed under the name Planctomycetota bacterium. Its description in RNAcentral is "Planctomycetes bacterium (stromatolite metagenome) tRNA-Leu". It matches the Rfam family "tRNA". From Rfam's summary of the family: Transfer RNA (tRNA) molecules are approximately 80 nucleotides in length. Their secondary structure includes four short double-helical elements and three loops (D, anti-codon, and T loops). Further hydrogen bonds mediate the characteristic L-shaped molecular structure. tRNAs have two regions of fundamental functional importance: the anti-codon, which is responsible for specific mRNA codon recognition, and the 3' end, to which the tRNAs corresponding amino acid is attached (by aminoacyl-tRNA synthetases). tRNAs cope with the degeneracy of the genetic code in two manners: having more than one tRNA (with a specific anti-codon) for a particular amino acid; and 'wobble' base-pairing, i.e. permitting non-standard base-pairing at the 3rd anti-codon position. Lineage: Bacteria; Pseudomonadati; Planctomycetota. The record is from RNAcentral.